Molecule: non-coding RNA, 80 nt
Organism: Cordylochernes scorpioides
Lineage: Eukaryota; Metazoa; Arthropoda; Arachnida; Pseudoscorpiones; Chernetidae
Source: the annotation of a GenBank genome assembly
GCUUCGAUAGCUCAGUUGGCAGAGCUGUAGAAGUAUUAACGGUGGUCCUUAGGUCGCUGGUUCAAAUCCGGCUCGAGAUA